Hippocampus comes (tiger tail seahorse) is the source of this 597-nucleotide long non-coding RNA. RefSeq lists it as uncharacterized. The record is from RefSeq and is a predicted model, not a curated record. The transcript is spliced from 2 exons. NCBI's taxonomy places the organism in Eukaryota, Metazoa, Chordata, Actinopteri, Syngnathiformes, Syngnathidae.
CAGAUGGUGUGUGGGAGGGACACCCAGAAGCUCCCCAUGGGCCGCAGGCGUUCUUUCAGUUCCGUAACCUGUAUGGAGGCAGCUCAGGGGAAAAACAGCCAAGCUGUGUACCAAAGAACUCGCUGUUCCCUGAAGCGCUGCCACACAUUGAAUCGAGACGUGGGUGCCUCUCAGGUGGAUUCGCUCCCAGAAGCCUCGCCGCCGCGCUUCAGUUACAUGGUGCGACCUCACCGGGAGUGCUGUAUUGUUGUCUCACAAAGGACCCGAAAUGAUAAUAAGGGAGAUUUGUGUUUUUGUCACUCUUUUUGAUGGUAAACGAUUCUUUCAUAACAAAAGUCAAAUGGCAUAGCUCUGCGACGUGGUAAAGAGGACAAAUCCAGAAUAGAUUUUAAAUGGGCCUGCUACAAAUGCUUUGACAGCAAGAAAUUGUGUAAGACAUGCUACCUGAUGUGUUUCGCAUAUAUCCUAAAAGGUUUUUUUUUAAUUGUGAUUGGAAAUUUAACCUGCGGCAAUCAGACGGACAAGACAUUUUAGCUAUUGUUUUUGAACCCUCAUCCUCAGCAGGUCAGUGCUGUAUAUCUCACACCCCACCCCCCA